GAUGAACGCUGGCGGCGUGCCUAAUACAUGCAAGUCGAGCGAACAGACGAGGAGCUUGCUCCUCUGACGUUAGCGGCGGACGGGUGAGUAACACGUGGAUAACCUACCUAUAAGACUGGGAUAACUUCGGGAAACCGGAGCUAAUACCGGAUAAUAUAUUGAACCGCAUGGUUCAAUAGUGAAAGACGGUUUUGCUGUCACUUAUAGAUGGAUCCGCGCCGCAUUAGCUAGUUGGUAAGGUAACGGCUUACCAAGGCAACGAUGCGUAGCCGACCUGAGAGGGUGAUCGGCCACACUGGACCUGAGACACGGUCCAGACUCCUACGGGAGGCAGCAGUAGGGAAUCUUCCGCAAGGGGCGAAAGCCUGACGGAGCAACGCCGCGUGAGUGAUGAAGGUCUUCGGAUCGUAAAACUCUGUUAUUGGGGAAGAACAAAUGUGUAAGUAACUAUGCACGUCUUGACGGUACCAAAUCAGAAAGCCACGGCUAACUACGU
RNAcentral lists this ribosomal RNA (496 nucleotides) under uncultured bacterium. RNAcentral describes it as "partial 16S ribosomal RNA". It matches the Rfam family "Bacterial small subunit ribosomal RNA", at positions 28 to 506 of the family's 1533-position model. The record is from RNAcentral.